Molecule: transfer RNA, 72 nt
Filed under: Olavius sp. associated proteobacterium Delta 1
Lineage: Bacteria; Deltaproteobacteria
Description: tRNA-Leu-GAG
Rfam family: tRNA (bases 4-67)
About the family: Transfer RNA (tRNA) molecules are approximately 80 nucleotides in length. Their secondary structure includes four short double-helical elements and three loops (D, anti-codon, and T loops).
Source: RNAcentral
CGAGGAUAGCUCAAUGGGUAGAGCACCGUGUUGAGGCCACGGGUGUUGCAGGUUCGAUUCCUGCUCCGACCA